GUUGUAGUAGCUUAACUAAAGCAUUGGUCUUGUAAUCCGAAAAUAGAAGUUUAUAUCUUUUCUUCAACU
This 69-nucleotide transfer RNA is filed under the name Danionella mirifica. RNAcentral describes it as "tRNA-Thr". It matches the Rfam family "tRNA". Rfam says of the family: Transfer RNA (tRNA) molecules are approximately 80 nucleotides in length. Their secondary structure includes four short double-helical elements and three loops (D, anti-codon, and T loops). The record is from RNAcentral. Lineage: Eukaryota; Metazoa; Chordata; Actinopteri; Cypriniformes; Danionidae.